CCCUUAGAUGUUCUGGGCCGCACGCGCGCUACACUGAUGCAUUCAACGAGUUUCUUCCUGGUCCGAGAGGAAUGGGUAACCUUUUGACAGUGCAUCGUGAUAGGGAUAGACUAUUGCAAUUAUUGGUCUUCAACGAGGAAUUCCUAGUAGACGUAGUUCAUCAGACUGCAUCGAUUACGUCCCUGCCCUUUGUACACACCGCCCGUCGCUCCUACCGAUUGAAUGCUCAGGUGAGCCAUUCGGACUUUCAUCAUGCUGGUUUCCAGUUUUGAUGAAGGAAAGUCUUGCGAACCUUAUCAUUUAGAGGAAGGAGAAGUCGUAACA
Molecule: ribosomal RNA, 324 nt
Filed under: uncultured eukaryote
Lineage: Eukaryota
Description: partial 18S ribosomal RNA
Rfam family: Eukaryotic small subunit ribosomal RNA
Source: RNAcentral